This 322-nucleotide ribosomal RNA is filed under the name uncultured eukaryote. Its description in RNAcentral is "partial 18S ribosomal RNA". It matches the Rfam family "Eukaryotic small subunit ribosomal RNA", at positions 1470 to 1796 of the family's 1831-position model. The record is from RNAcentral.
CCCUUAGAUGUUCUGGGCCGCACGCGUGCUACACUGAGUGGAUCAGCGGGUCAGGUUGCGCGAAAGUGUUUCCAAAUCUUUAAAUCCGCUCGUGAUGGGGAUUGACGGUUGCAAUUUUCCGUCAUGAACGAGGAAUACCUUGUAAGCGCGGGUCAUCAUCCCGCGCUGAAUACGUCCCUGCCCUUUGUACACACCGCCCGUCGCUCCUACCGAUUGAGUGGUCCGGUGAGGCUUUGGGAUCUGAGCGGAAAGAGCGUUUCGCUGUUUCUGCCCGGAAAACUCAGUCGAACCUUAUCAUUUAGAGGAAGGAGAAGUCGUAACA